CUCGGUGAUUUGUGCGAGCCGGUCCCACCUGAUCCCAUCCCGAACUCAGAAGUGAAACGGCUUAGCGGGGACGAUAAUGCAUCCGCAAGGUUGUGUGAAUAUACCUCAUUGCCGGGA
Molecule: ribosomal RNA, 117 nt
Filed under: Candidatus Daviesbacteria bacterium
Lineage: Bacteria; Candidatus Daviesiibacteriota
Source: RNAcentral